Molecule: long non-coding RNA, 943 nt
Filed under: Physcomitrium patens
Lineage: Eukaryota; Viridiplantae; Streptophyta; Bryopsida; Funariales; Funariaceae
Description: long non-coding RNA (PPAT_LNC000384)
Source: RNAcentral
AUUUUCAAAAAAAAUAGUACUUGUUGUCAAUUUAAUUAUCAAAAAAUAUGCAAAUUUUGAGUUAAAAUCAAUGAUUCAUUCAUUAAUAAUUGAGGUUUAAAUCUAUUGUAGGAAUUAUUAGGAUUUGAUUUAGGAUUUAGGGUUUGGUUAGGAUUUGGUUAGGGUUUGAUUUAGGAUUAGGAUUUGGUUUAGGAUUAAGGAUUUAGUCAGAAUUUGAUUUAGGAUUAGGAUUUGGUUAAGAUUUGAUUUAGGAUUUAGGAUUUGAUUAGGAUUUGAUUUAGGAUUAAGAUUUGAUUAGGAUUUAGUUUAAGAUUUAGGGUUUGAUUUAGGGUUGGUUAGGAUUUGAUUUAGGAUUUGGAUUUGAUUAGGACUUGGUUAGGAUUUGAUUUAGAAUUAUGGUUUGGUUUAGUGAUUAGAGUUUGAUUAGGAUUUGAUUUAAGAUUAGGAUUUAGUUUAGGAUUUAGGAUUUGAUCAGGGUUUGAUUUAGGAUUAGGAUUUGGUUAAGAUUUGGUUUAGGAUUUAGGAUUAGGAUUUGGUUAAGAUAUGGUUUAAGAUUCAGGGUUAGGAUUUGGUUUAGCAUUUAGAAUUGGUUAGGAUUUGAUUUAAAGUUAUGAUUUGAUUAGGAUUUGAUUAAGGUUUGAUUUAGGAUAAGGAUUUAGUUUAGGGUUUAGGAUUUGGUUAAGAUUUGAUUUAGAAUUAGAAUUUGAUUUAGGAUUUAAGAUUUGGUUAGGAUUUGAUUUAGGACUUAAGAUUUGAUUAAGAUUUGAUGAAGAUUUGAGUUAGGAUUUAAGGUUUUAUUUGAGUUUGUUUAGGAUUUAAGAUUUAGUUAAUUUUUGACCUAAAGUUUGAAGAAAGUUCAAUGAGAUUUCAACUAAGAUUAAAUUAAGAUUGAAUUGAGAUAUAUUUGAGAUAUAUUUGUAAUAAUUCUAAUAUUUUUUUAAGA